RNAcentral lists this transfer RNA (105 nucleotides) under Strongyloides stercoralis. It matches the Rfam family "tRNA". From Rfam's summary of the family: Transfer RNA (tRNA) molecules are approximately 80 nucleotides in length. Their secondary structure includes four short double-helical elements and three loops (D, anti-codon, and T loops). Further hydrogen bonds mediate the characteristic L-shaped molecular structure. tRNAs have two regions of fundamental functional importance: the anti-codon, which is responsible for specific mRNA codon recognition, and the 3' end, to which the tRNAs corresponding amino acid is attached (by aminoacyl-tRNA synthetases). tRNAs cope with the degeneracy of the genetic code in two manners: having more than one tRNA (with a specific anti-codon) for a particular amino acid; and 'wobble' base-pairing, i.e. permitting non-standard base-pairing at the 3rd anti-codon position. Lineage: Eukaryota; Metazoa; Nematoda; Chromadorea; Rhabditida; Strongyloididae. The record is from Rfam by way of RNAcentral.
CCAACCAUAGCUCAGUUGGUAGAGCGGAGGACUGUAGAAUUAAGCCUUUCAGGCCACUUCAUAGCUGAUAUCCUUAGGUCACUGGUUCGAAUCCGGUUGGUUGGA